UUUUUCCUAAACUUAUAUUAUUUACAAAUUUAACUAUUUAGUAGAUUGUUAAAGGAAAUAUGUGAAAUGGAAGUCAAUAUUGUAUUUUGCAAUCGGACCAUGAAAAGUGGAAGGUCAGAUUUAGGUCAAAGAGUGGGUCAUUAAUUAAUCUCCAACUAAAAAUGUUUUGGUGACCCAACAACACAAGCAAGCAAGCUCUCGCAAUCCGAUUUGAUCGUCCCUAAUUGUUCUUUAAAUGAUAAGUAAUGACCCACCAACGUCCAUCCAUCAUCUUAAGCGUGCUGCCUUUGCUAUCACCAAAUAGAGCAAUUAGAGAUCAUCAUCAUCAUCAUCAUCUCCUGAUUACUUGUAGAUUGUUCAUAUAUAUGAUAAUAAUUUGGAAGCUGGUCUCUUCAACAAAGCUCCCCCAGUGCACCUUCUCUCAUCAAGAAAGUUGUUGCCCAAGCUUCAAUCUUUAGUAUAUGGAAACAGAGGAACAAUAUGUUUCACAACUUACACUCAUUUCGUAAUACCAUCACAGCUCGAAGACACAAUGGCAUACGCUGAUGCUGCUUUGGAUCCUAUAGUUUUGUUUUUUCUCCCAGUACUUUCUCAAAUUUAUUGUAGCUUUGUAUUCUACAUAGAUAUUAUACUAUUUGUAAAACCUUUAUUUCAUUUCUCUAAUGAUAUCAUAUUAACAUAUUCUAGGAAAGAAAAAGAAAAAAAAAAAACCUCCUUCAUCUUCCACUAAUGUAGCGCGUAUUUAACCAAGUGGCACUUAUCUUCUAAGUCUUCGUUACAACCACAAAAUACAAAAUAUAGUAUCAUAACGUAGGACAUGGACUN
RNAcentral lists this long non-coding RNA (825 nucleotides) under Capsella grandiflora. RNAcentral's name for it is "long non-coding RNA (CGRA_LNC001338)". The record is from RNAcentral. Lineage: Eukaryota; Viridiplantae; Streptophyta; Magnoliopsida; Brassicales; Brassicaceae.